This 297-nucleotide ribosomal RNA is filed under the name uncultured bacterium. Its description in RNAcentral is "partial 16S ribosomal RNA". It matches the Rfam family "Bacterial small subunit ribosomal RNA", at positions 28 to 348 of the family's 1533-position model. The record is from RNAcentral.
GAUAAACGCUGGCGGCGUGCCUAACACAUGCAAGUCGAACGCCCUACGCUUGCGUAGGGAGUGGCGGACGGGUGAGGAACACGUGGGUCAUCUACCCAGAGGUGAGGAAUACCGGCGAGAAAUCGCCGACAAUACCGCAUACGUUCUGAAAAGAACAAAGUCGCAAGACGCCUUUGGAUGAGCCUGCGCCCGAUUAGUUAGUUGGUGGGUAAAGCCUACCAGACUGCAAUCGGUAGCNGGUCUGAGAGGACGAUCAGCCACACUGGGAUUGAGAACGGCCCAGACUCCUACGGGGGC